GACGAACGCUGGCGGCGUGCUUAACACGUGCAAGUCGAACGGAAAGGCCCUGCUUUUGUGGGGUGCUCGAGUGGCGAACGGGUGAGUAACACGUGAGUAACCUGCCCUUGACUUUGGGAUAACUUCAGGAAACUGGGGCUAAUACCGGAUAGGAGCUCCUGCUGCAUGGUGGGGGUUGGAAAGUUUCGGCGGUUGGGGAUGGACUCGCGGCUUAUCAGCUUGUUGGUGGGGUAGUGGCUUACCAAGGCUUUGACGGGUAGCCGGCCUGAGAGGGUGACGGGCCACAUUGGGACUGAGAUACGGCCCAGACUCCUACGGGAGGCAGCAGUGGGGAAUAUUGCACAAUGGGCGGAAGCCUGAUGCAGCAACGCCGCGUGCGGGAUGACGGCCUUCGGGUUGUAAACCGCUUUCGCCUGUGACGAAGCGUGAGUGACGGUAAUGGGUAAAGAAGCACCGGCUAACUACGUG
RNAcentral lists this ribosomal RNA (468 nucleotides) under uncultured bacterium. RNAcentral describes it as "partial 16S ribosomal RNA". It matches the Rfam family "Bacterial small subunit ribosomal RNA", at positions 28 to 507 of the family's 1533-position model. The record is from RNAcentral.